RNAcentral lists this ribosomal RNA (571 nucleotides) under Diaporthe sp. RNAcentral's name for it is "eukaryotic LSU rRNA". The stretch from base 207 to 360 matches the Rfam family "5.8S ribosomal RNA". The record is from RNAcentral. Lineage: Eukaryota; Fungi; Ascomycota; Sordariomycetes; Diaporthales; Diaporthaceae.
UCCGUAGGGUGAACCUGCGGAGGGAUCAUUGCUGGAACGCGCCCCAGGCGCACCCAGAAACCCUUUGUGAACUUAUACCUUACUGUUGCCUCGGCGCAUGCUGGCCCCCCCGGGGGCCCCUCGGAGACGAGGAGCAGGCACGCCGGCGGCCAAGUUAACUCUUGUUUUUACACUGAAACUCUGAGAAAAAAACACAAAUGAAUCAAAACUUUCAACAACGGAUCUCUUGGUUCUGGCAUCGAUGAAGAACGCAGCGAAAUGCGAUAAGUAAUGUGAAUUGCAGAAUUCAGUGAAUCAUCGAAUCUUUGAACGCACAUUGCGCCCUCUGGUAUUCCGGAGGGCAUGCCUGUUCGAGCGUCAUUUCAACCCUCAAGCAUUGCUUGGUGUUGGGGCACUGCUUUUUACCCAAAAGCAGGCCCUGAAAUCUAGUGGCGAGCUCGCCAGGACCCCGAGCGCAGUAGUUAAACCCUCGCUUUGGAAGGCCCUGGCGGUGCCCUGCCGUUAAACCCCCAACUUUUGAAAAUUUGACCUCGGAUCAGGUAGGAAUACCCGCUGAACUUAAGCAUAUCAA